RNAcentral lists this ribosomal RNA (714 nucleotides) under uncultured Corynebacterium sp. RNAcentral describes it as "bacterial SSU rRNA". It matches the Rfam family "Bacterial small subunit ribosomal RNA", at positions 65 to 791 of the family's 1533-position model. The record is from RNAcentral. Lineage: Bacteria; Bacillati; Actinomycetota; Actinomycetes; Mycobacteriales; Corynebacteriaceae.
AACGGAAAGGCCCUGCUUGCAGGGUACUCGAGUGGCGAACGGGUGAGUAACACGUGGGUGAUCUGCCCUGCACUUCGGGAUAAGCUUGGGAAACUGGGUCUAAUACCGGAUAGGAACCAUCUUUAGUGUGGUGGUUGGAAAGUUUUUUCGGUGUAGGAUGAGCUCGCGGCCUAUCAGCUUGUUGGUGGGGUAAUGGCCUACCAAGGCGGCGACGGGUAGCCGGCCUGAGAGGGUGUACGGCCACAUUGGGACUGAGAUACGGCCCAGACUCCUACGGGAGGCAGCAGUGGGGAAUAUUGCACAAUGGGCGCAAGCCUGAUGCAGCGACGCCGCGUGGGGGAUGAAGGCCUUCGGGUUGUAAACUCCUUUCGCUAGGGACGAAGCUUUUUUGUGACGGUACCUAGAUAAGAAGCACCGGCUAACUACGUGCCAGCAGCCGCGGUAAUACGUAGGGUGCGAGCGUUGUCCGGAAUUACUGGGCGUAAAGGGCUCGUAGGUGGUUUGUCGCGUCGUCUGUGAAAUUCUGGGGCUUAACUCCGGGCGUGCAGGCGAUACGGGCAUAACUUGAGUGCUGUAGGGGUAACUGGAAUUCCUGGUGUAGCGGUGAAAUGCGCAGAUAUCAGGAGGAACACCGAUGGCGAAGGCAGGUUACUGGGCAGUUACUGACGCUGAGGAGCGAAAGCAUGGGUAGCGAACAGGAUUAGAUACCCUGGU